This 765-nucleotide ribosomal RNA is filed under the name Triticum aestivum (bread wheat). RNAcentral's name for it is "partial small subunit ribosomal RNA". Lineage: Eukaryota; Viridiplantae; Streptophyta; Magnoliopsida; Poales; Poaceae. The record is from RNAcentral.
AUGGCUUUGGUCCAACGGUUUGGGAAACCAGACAUAUUCCUUACAAUGACUUGCAACCCACAUUGGGAAGAGAUAACUAGAGAACUAGCAGAAGGUCAAUCACCACAAGACAGGCCGGACUUGGUAGCACGAGUCUUCAAGUCAAAAUUAGAGGAUUUAAAGGAUCUUUUGUUUAGGAAGAAAUUCUUUGGUGAAGUUGAUGAACAUGUGCACGUAAUUGAAUUUCAGAAAAGAGGUCUACCACAUGCACAUUUUCUAAUAAUUCUGAAAUCAAACUACAAGAUAACUAAUCCGGACCAAUAUGAUGAGAUAAUAUUAGCUGAAAUUCCUGAUAAUGAUAAAUAUCCUAUACUGCAUGAUUUAGCUAUUAAGCACAUGAUGCAUGGCCCAUGUGGAGUUCUCAACAUAAAUAAUCCUUGCAUGGAAAAUGGAAGUUGUCAAUAUCAUUAUCCUCGACAUUUCGCAGAGACCACACAACAAGGAGAGGAAUCUUAUCCAAUUUAUAGGCGCAGGAAUGACGGCCGCCGAGUGCGCAUCAGGGGUGCAGUUUUGGAUAAUAGAUGGGUUGUCCCAUACAAUCCCUAUUUACUUAUUCGAUACAAUUGCCAUAUAAAUAUUGAAGUUUUCUCUAGCAUCAAGGCUGUGAAAUAUUUAUUCAAAUACAUCUACAAAGGUCAUGAUUGUGCCUCCAUUGUCAUCGAAGCCGCAGAAGAUGAUGCAGUUAUUAAUGAAAUUCGUGAGUAUAGAGAUGCAAGGUUUAUUUAA